RNAcentral lists this ribosomal RNA (432 nucleotides) under uncultured bacterium. Its description in RNAcentral is "partial 16S ribosomal RNA". It matches the Rfam family "Bacterial small subunit ribosomal RNA", at positions 29 to 507 of the family's 1533-position model. The record is from RNAcentral.
AACGAACGCUGGCGGCAUGCCUAACACAUGCAAGUCGAACGAGACCUUCGGGUCUAGUGGCGCACGGGUGCGUAACGCGUGGGAACCUGCCUUUAGGUUCGGAAUAACUCAGAGAAAUUUGAGCUAAUACCGGAUGAUGUCUUCGGACCAAAGAUUUAUCGCCUUUAGAUGGGCCCGCGUUGGAUUAGCUAGUUGGUGGGGUAAAGGCCUACCAAGGCGACGAUCCAUAGCUGGUCUAAGAGGAUGUUCAGCCACACUGGGACUGAGACACGGCCCAGACUCCUACGGGAGGCAGCAGUGGGGAAUAUUGGACAAUGGGCGAAAGCCUGAUCCAGCAAUGCCGCGUGAGUGAUGAAGGCUUAGGGGUGUAAAGCUCUUUUACCCGAGAUGAUAAUGACAGUAUCGGGAGAAUAAGCACCGGCUAACUCCGUG